This 773-nucleotide ribosomal RNA is filed under the name uncultured Enterobacteriaceae bacterium. Its description in RNAcentral is "bacterial SSU rRNA". It matches the Rfam family "Bacterial small subunit ribosomal RNA", at positions 723 to 1502 of the family's 1533-position model. The record is from RNAcentral. Lineage: Bacteria; Pseudomonadati; Pseudomonadota; Gammaproteobacteria; Enterobacterales; Enterobacteriaceae.
GGCCUUUCUGGACAGUACUGACGCUGAGAUGCGAAAGCGUGGGGAGCAAACAGGAUUAGAUACCUGGUAGUCACGCUGUAAACGAUGUCGAUUUGGAGUUUGUGCCUAGGGUAUGGGCUCCGAAGCUAACGCGAUAAAUCGACCGCUGGGGAGUACGGCCGCAAGGUUAAAACUCAAAUGAAUUGACGGGGGCCCGCACAGCGGUGGAGCAUGUGGUUUAUUUCGAUGCAACGCGAAGAACCUUACCUGGUCUUGACAUCCAUAGAAUUCUGCAGAGAUGUGGGAGUGCCUUCGGGAACUAUGAGACAGGUGCUGCAUGGCUGUCGUCAGCUCGUGUUGUGAAAUGUUGGGUUAAGUCCCGCAACGAGCGCAACCCUUAUUCUUUGUUGCCAGCGAUUUGGUCGGGAACUCAAAGGAGACUGCCGUUGAUAAAGCGGAGGAAGGUGGGGACGACGUCAAGUCAUCAUGGCCCUUACGACCAGGGCUACACACGUGCUGCAAUGGCGUAUACAAAGGGAAGCGAAGGUGCGAGCUGGAGCGGAUCUCAUAAAGUACGUCUAAGUUCGGAUUGGAGUCUGCAACUCGACUCCAUGAAGUCGGAAUCGCUAGUAAUCGUAGAUCAGAAUGCUACGGUGAAUACGUUCCCGGGCCUUGUACACACCGCCCGUCACACCAUGGGAGUGGGUUGCACCAGAGGUAGAUAGCUUAACCGCGAGGGGGGCGUUUACCACGGUGUGAUUCAUGACUGGGGUGAAGUCGUAACAAGGUAACCA